Stylophora pistillata is the source of this 720-nucleotide long non-coding RNA. RefSeq lists it as uncharacterized. The record is from RefSeq and is a predicted model, not a curated record. Lineage: Eukaryota; Metazoa; Cnidaria; Anthozoa; Scleractinia; Pocilloporidae.
UUUGCAGAAUCAUUGUGUAGAGGCCUGAUAUUUCAACACGAAACACCACACAUUCAAGUCAGUCUCACCACCUUAGUCUUGUAUAACUCUGAGUUUGAGAUCCAAGUUUAAAGAUAUAUGGCGCACUUAAAGUUUAUCUGCGCGCUGGUACUUUAUUUUUUCAUCUUUUCGUCUUUGUUCGCGCGCGAAGAAGCUUUCUCUUCUAAUAACAGAAUCGGUAAAAGAACUUUCAAGCUACAACGAAAACUUGAGAUGGGACCGAUGAUCGAAAGUCGCGUAAUGGACUCAGGAACUGCGCGUGCGCAGAUACAGAAGGCAAAAGCUAAGGACAGUGGAACUUGGAAGUUUGGAUCGACCAGGCCUCAAGAGAAUUGAGGAUCAAUUCAUUGAUGAUUGCUAGUUUUUACCUAACGAAUAGAAUUGCCGAAGCAAAUAAGUUGAAAAUUCAAUUGCUGUUAGUAAAGAGCCAUAAGUUAUGGAGGGGAUUUUGAUAUCAUCGACAUAUAUUAGAAUAAAGUAAUGAUAAACUUCCUGUAAAUUGUAAAAAAAAAAAAAAACCAUUGUGGUUAUCCAUGAAUACAUAACAUGAUUUCGGACGUCUAUGGUGUCUAGGCCACUAAUACCAGUUUUCAAAAAAGGCAAUAAUGUAAUCUAGCUUUCUUUCUGACUCUUAUGCCCCUUUUAAUUAGAAAGUUUAUUAAAAAGCAGACGCUGAAAGGA